Mangifera indica (mango) is the source of this 1236-nucleotide RNA transcript. It is a transcript of the gene named BTB/POZ domain-containing protein SR1IP1-like, with no coding region annotated. Lineage: Eukaryota; Viridiplantae; Streptophyta; Magnoliopsida; Sapindales; Anacardiaceae. The transcript is spliced from 4 exons. The record is from RefSeq and is a predicted model, not a curated record.
ACAUGAAUUUAUACAUAUGCAUACGUAUACAUAUAUAUACAUAUAUACAUACAUAUAUGUAUGUAUGUAUGUGAAGAAUCAUUAGUAAACCACAACAAGAAAAUCAGAGAGAAACAAAAACAUAGAUGCGCUCACCAGUCUGAGCAUGGCCACUAAGAAGAAGGAGCUCCUGUUCACUGCCAUGAAGAGAGCCAGUGAAUGGAUUUUCUUUGAGGAGAUUCCUAGUGAUGUAACUUUUCAUGUUGGAGGAACUUCCUUUUCAUUACAUAUAAGGCUAAUGGUAGUUUCCAUUAGUCUGAAAAUGUGGAUACAUAAGGAAGCUGGUAUCUGAAUCCAGUGAAGCUGAUCUUGCUGUUAUUGAAGUAUCUGAUGCUCUGGGCGGGGCAGAGGCAGAGGCAUUUGAACUUGGAGCAAAAUUCUGCUAUGGAAUUCAUUUUGGGAUCAACACAGAAAACAUUGCCCUGCUUAGAUGUGCGGCACAGUGUCUUGAGAUGACCUAGGACUAUGCAGUUGGAAGUUUGGUUGGAAGAGCUGAUGCUUACUUGAAUGAAGUAGCACUCAAGAGCCUUGCAGGAGCAGUUACUGUUUUACAUAUGUCAGAGAGCCUACUUUCAAUUGCAAAGAAAGUAAAAUUAGUGGUCAUCACAUAGAUGCAAUAGCAUACAUAACUUGUAAAGAAAACCAGUUUUCUGUAUCUGGUAGAGCCGAGAGUGGUGUUAAGGGAGCAAUUUCAACCAUGGCAUCUCAUCCAAAGGCCAUUAUUGAUUGGUGGGCUGAAGAUUUAACUGUUUUUCGAAUCAAUAUCUUCCUAUGGGUUUUGAUAGCAAUGAUGGCAAGGGGAUUUAAACAAUAUGCUCUUGGUACUGUACUUAUGCUGUAUGCACAGAGAUCUCUUCGAGGAAAUAUUUGUGAAAGGGAGGAAGAAAAUUGAGCCUUAAAAAGAACAUGAAAAGAGGGUUGUGUUGGAAACAAAUAGUGAGUCUUCUGCCAAGGGAAAAGAAUGCACUGUCCGCUAGCUUUCUAGCAAUGCUCCUUUGAUCUGCAAUAUAUCUUGAAACAACAAUUACCAGGGCUUAAGUAACAUUAUCUCUCAUGUGAAAUAUUUGAAUUUAUUAACUUGAGAUGGAAUAAUGAGAUGUUAAUCAUGUUAUAAAAAGCAAAACUUUAACAUAACUGAUAUAGUGGUUGUAUAUUCAAUCACUCUGUUGCAUUCAAUAUUAUUCAUGUUUGAUAAUA